CAAUUCGUGAUAUUGACUCUGCAGUUCCUGCAAAAGAUUCUCUUUCUCCUGCAGUCGUUGUUCUGUGAGGGAAUGAAGCAGAUAUCAGAGGACAUUUAGAUGAAGGCUCUCCUGGUUGAUCUGACAUUGUUUUUCCAGCUGCUGCUUCAGGUCCUCCAGUUGCUUCUCCAUGGCUGCAGAGAGAAAAAUGAAAUAUCCUGUAAAUGUCACAAUCGGACAAUGCUGACUUUUUAUAUUGCAACAUUGCCAUUUCAAUAACAUCCUCAAGACAUAAAUUAUAUGAUGAAAUAA
Long non-coding RNA from Pleuronectes platessa (European plaice), 291 nucleotides. RefSeq lists it as uncharacterized. NCBI's taxonomy places the organism in Eukaryota, Metazoa, Chordata, Actinopteri, Pleuronectiformes, Pleuronectidae. The record is from RefSeq and is a predicted model, not a curated record. The transcript is spliced from 2 exons.